GCCUCCCGCUCUGGGCGGUGCCAGGGCCCUGAGCCUGAGAGCAGAACUGUAGUCCAGGCCUGGAGUCCCCGGGGGUGGGAACCGAGAUUUCCCUCGGCUGGGCCCCACUUUCACUGGGGAGGGCGUGCUUCCGCCUGCCCUGGCCCUGCUCAUUCUCUCCUGAAAGCAUGAUCUGUCUCUGUCCCUCGCUCUCGUUUUUAAGCUUGCAGUUCCUUAGACCUUACAUACCAAGUGCAGCCCAGCUGACCUCCAAUUCAUGAUCCUGUUGGCCUUACCCCAGCGCACCCCAGUAUGACAGUCGGCCUGGCUUCCCCAUCAUCAUCUUGUAAAGAAAAUAAAUGUACGUGCCUGCAACAAAA
Long non-coding RNA from Peromyscus maniculatus bairdii (prairie deer mouse), 359 nucleotides. RefSeq lists it as uncharacterized. The record is from RefSeq and is a predicted model, not a curated record. Lineage: Eukaryota; Metazoa; Chordata; Mammalia; Rodentia; Cricetidae.